AUCAUUUCCUGGCCUUACAGAUCAAGUGUAGUAUCUGUUCUUAUCAGUUUAAUAUCUGAUACGUCCCCUAUCUGUGGACCAUAUAUUAAAUGGAUUUUUGGGACAGGGAGAUGGAAGAAGAGCUUGCUCUGUCCACUCCACGCAUUGACCUGGUAUUGCAGUACCUCCAGGACCGGUGCACCUCUC
Molecule: small nuclear RNA, 186 nt
Filed under: Pelobates cultripes (western spadefoot toad)
Lineage: Eukaryota; Metazoa; Chordata; Amphibia; Anura; Pelobatidae
Rfam family: U2 spliceosomal RNA
About the family: U2 is a small nuclear RNA (snRNA) component of the spliceosome (involved in pre-mRNA splicing). Complementary binding between U2 snRNA (in an area lying towards the 5' end but 3' to hairpin I) and the branchpoint sequence (BPS) of the intron results the bulging out of an unpaired adenosine, on the BPS, which initiates a nucleophilic attack at the intronic 5' splice site, thus starting the first of two transesterification reactions that mediate splicing.
Source: RNAcentral